This 507-nucleotide ribosomal RNA is filed under the name uncultured eukaryote. Its description in RNAcentral is "SSU rRNA". It matches the Rfam family "Eukaryotic small subunit ribosomal RNA", at positions 231 to 759 of the family's 1831-position model. The record is from RNAcentral.
CUUUCGGGAUUAUUGUGAUGAUUCAUAAUAACUGAUCGGAUCAAGGUGUACCUUGAUAGAUCAUUCAAGUUUCUGCCCUAUCAGCUUUCGAUGGUAGUGUAUUGGACUACCAUGGCAGUCACGGGUAACGGAGAAUUAGGGUUCGAUUCCGGAGAGGGAGCCUGAGAAACGGCUACCACAUCUACGGAAGGCAGCAGGCGCGUAAAUUACCCAAUCCUGAUUCAGGGAGGUAGUGACAAGAAAUAACAACUCGGGGCCUCACGGCUUACGAGAUUGCAAUGAGAACAAUUUAAAUCUCUUAGCGAGGAACAAUUGGAGGGCAAGUCUGGUGCCAGCAGCCGCGGUAAUUCCAGCUCCAAUAGCGUAUAUUAAAGUUGUUGCAGUUAAAAAGCUCGUAGUUGAAUUUCUGAUUAUGGAUGUAGCGGUUUCCGUUACAUUUGUAGUCAUCCACAUGAGAACCUUUCUCGGCCUUCACUGGUCGGUUGGGGGAUCAUGUACUUUACUUUG